This 690-nucleotide ribosomal RNA is filed under the name Bacillus sp. 13981. RNAcentral describes it as "bacterial SSU rRNA". It matches the Rfam family "Bacterial small subunit ribosomal RNA", at positions 61 to 749 of the family's 1533-position model. Lineage: Bacteria; Bacillati; Bacillota; Bacilli; Caryophanales; Bacillaceae. The record is from RNAcentral.
GUCGAGCGGACCCUUCGGGGUUAGCGGCGGACGGGUGAGUAACACGUAGGCAACCUGCCUGUAAGACUGGGAUAACUACCGGAAACGGUAGCUAAGACCGGAUAAGUGAUUCUUUUGCAUGAGAGGAUCAAGAAACACGGGGCAACCUGUGGCUUACAGAUGGGCCUGCGGCGCAUUAGCUAGUUGGUGGGGUAACGGCUCACCAAGGCGACGAUGCGUAGCCGACCUGAGAGGGUGAUCGGCCACACUGGGACUGAGACACGGCCCAGACUCCUACGGGAGGCAGCAGUAGGGAAUCUUCCGCAAUGGACGCAAGUCUGACGGAGCAACGCCGCGUGAGUGAUGAAGGUUUUCGGAUCGUAAAGCUCUGUUGCCAGGGAAGAACGUCGCGGAGAGUAACUGCUCUGCGAAUGACGGUACCUGAGAAGAAAGCCCCGGCUAACUACGUGCCAGCAGCCGCGGUAAUACGUAGGGGGCAAGCGUUGUCCGGAAUUAUUGGGCGUAAAGCGCGCGCAGGCGGCCGCUUAAGUCUGGUGUUUAAGCCCGAGGCUCAACCUCGGUUCGCACUGGAAACUGGGUGGCUUGAGUGCAGGAGAGGAAAGCGGAAUUCCACGUGUAGCGGUGAAAUGCGUAGAGAUGUGGAGGAACACCAGUGGCGAAGGCGGCUUUCUGGCCUGUAACUGACGCUGA